Molecule: long non-coding RNA, 1566 nt
Filed under: Paramuricea clavata
Lineage: Eukaryota; Metazoa; Cnidaria; Anthozoa; Malacalcyonacea; Plexauridae
Source: RNAcentral
ACUUACAUAUAAAGAGGACUUUCUCUGUGAAAUUUUUAAAAAAUCACUUGUUUUACGAAAGUUUUUAUUGAGAAAAGUCUGUGAGGGGCAUAUUAACAGUCGUCUGCACGUUAAGCCCUGGGCAAACUAGGAAACAUUGUUGCGGAAACAUUGUUUCCUACCAAUGUUUCGCCAUGUUUCCAAGAGUGGGCAAACACUAGGGAACAUCAGUGAGAAACAUAGGGAAACAUCAAAUGUUUCUGAAUUCGCUAGAAAGCUAUUUUUGCUUCUCGGGAAGCAAAUUUUGUUUCCGCAACAAUUAAUGUUUCCAAAGAGGGAAACAUUUGAGGAAACAUCGAGAAUCACAAAUGUUUACACAACAAUGUUCCUAGUUUUCCUAGGGCUUAACAAGUUGUUAACAAGUUGAUGACAACAAGCUCGUAGCAACUUGUUACGAACAGCCUGUAUUGGUCUUGUUGGAACAAUUUGUAGCAAGUCUGUUACCGUCAUCAACCUUGUAACAAGGUGAUAACAACUUGUUCCAGACUUGUCACAACAACUGGGAACAAGCAGUGCGAACACAUCCUGAUAUCGGUUUGACAACAAUCUUGUUACAACUUGUUUACAGAACUGUAACAACUUGCGCGUUCUUACGUGUGUCUAAUAGGGGUUCCAAUAUAGUGUUUUACUAAAAUUAGGAGGUUUAAAACAGCCGUGCACAGCAUGAUACUCAGUGGAUGAAUUUCUUUCCUGAUUGAAAACAUUACGAGAAGAUGGUGCUGUCGAUGUGAUCAGAUGACAGACGCGACGAUUAGUCGAUUACGGCCGAACAGCACCAUCCACUGGAUAGUGAUAGAUAGAUGAUUUAUUCAGUUUUAAAAGACUUUACAGCUGAUAAUGGCUGAAUUGCGUUAAAACGUUACAAUUAUAAAAAUUUAAGAAACCUAAUGAUUAAAAAUAUUUACAAUUACUAACAAUAAAAAAUUCAUAAACCGAUCAGUUUUGGACCUUGGAACGUUAAGUUGCCUUUUACGUCUCAGUUGGUAUGAACAGUUAUUUUCAGAUGGUAGUAGAGAUCUGAGUUUGUGGGAUAAUAUUUUGAACCGUUGCAAAACUGCGCUCAGAGUUGUAAAACUACGGUUAUGAACUUCGCAAUUAAUAAAAAGAAACCUCAAUUUAUAAAUACUGAAAUUUAAUCUGGCUUUUCACAAUAACGCACAAUUUUAGCAUGCUUGAAUAAGUCACUAUCCGCAUGGUGCACACGUAAAAACGCAGAAGUUGUUACAGGUCUGCAAACAAGUUGCUACAAAUCUGUUCACAAGCUGUCGACAAGUUGUGUUCGCACUGCUUGUUCCCAGUUGUUGUAACAAGUUUGGAACAAGCUGUUAACAACUUGUAACAAGCUUGAUGGCAUUAUCAGACUUGUUACAAGGUUGUUCUAACAAGUCUGAUGCAGUCAUGACAUAACAGGAAUGUUACAAGGUUGACGACACAAGGUUGUAACAAUAUUGUUAUAUCACGACUGUAUCGGACUUGUUGGACCAACCUUGUAACAAGUCUGAUAAUAUCAACAAGGUUGUUACAAGU